AAGACCUUGCGCUUUUGGAGCGGCCGAUGCCUGAUUAGCUUGUUGGUAAGGUAAAAGCUUACCAAGGCUUCGAUCAGUAGCUGGUCUGAGAGGACGGCCAGCCACACUGGGACUGAGACACGGCCCAGACUCCUACGGGAGGCAGCAGUGGGGAAUUUUGGACAAUGGGGGCAACCCUGAUCCAGCCAUGCCGCGUGAGUGAAGAAGGCCUUCGGGUUGUAAAGCUCUUUCAGCCGGAACGAAACGGUCACGGUUAAUACCCGUGAUUACUGACGGUACCGGAAGAAGAAGCACCGGCUAACUACGUGCCAGCAGCCGCGGUAAUACGUAGGGUGCGAGCGUUAAUCGGAAUUACUGGGCGUAAAGCGUGCGCAGGUGGUUUUGUAAGUCAGAUGUGAAAGCCCCGGGCUCAACCUGGGAACU
This 423-nucleotide ribosomal RNA is filed under the name uncultured bacterium. RNAcentral describes it as "bacterial SSU rRNA". It matches the Rfam family "Bacterial small subunit ribosomal RNA", at positions 207 to 622 of the family's 1533-position model. The record is from RNAcentral.